AUGACUACCUGAUUCUUUGAUUUAAUUAGAGAUCAUUCCCUAGACUUUAUAGGCCUGCAAGAAACUAUGAAGAAAAAAUUCUCUCCUAAAUUCUUAAGGAAGGUGGACCCCUUGGAUAGAUAUACCUGGAACUGGACUCCCUCUAUUGGCAAGUCAGGUGGCAUCCUAUGUGGUGUCAAGAAAGAAAACCUUGAAAUUAUAUCCUGGGUACUUGGUAGCUUCCUUCUUCAAGCUAACAUAUAUGAUGUUAAAAACAAAUGCGUCUGGGCCCUUGUAGUGGUCUAUGGGGCAGCUCAGGAUGAUAGGAAGGAUGAGUUCCUAAAUGAGCUAGAUUCUACUUGUUCCCAGAUCCAUGUCCCCUAUAUAGUGGGUGGUGAUUUCUAUAUCUUACGAAACUGUGAGGAGAAAAAAAAACGUGACCCAUUCCCACUACACAGACAAGUUUAA
This 447-nucleotide ribosomal RNA is filed under the name Triticum aestivum (bread wheat). Its description in RNAcentral is "partial small subunit ribosomal RNA". Lineage: Eukaryota; Viridiplantae; Streptophyta; Magnoliopsida; Poales; Poaceae. The record is from RNAcentral.